GAAAAAGUGUUGUCUUUCUGUUAAAUUUUUUAAUUUAGUGUUUUAUUAUUUAAAAUAUUUUAUAUUAAUUAUUUUAUUUUGAUUGAAUAUUAAAUUAAGUUAUACUUUCUUUUCUUAAAUUUUUUGUUAAAAAAUAGAUGAAGUUAAAUAAAAGAUCCAAUUGCCACUAUUUAGUACACUUAUGGAUUUAAUUGCAAAGAAAAAGAAAACUCAAGGAUUAAACUACAUAACUUAGGGGAAAUAGUAGUAAAAAUCCAUUUUUUUUUAUUAUUUCAUUUAUCAAUCUCUCAAACCUAUCUAACCUCUCGACUCUCUCCUAGCCAUUUUUUCUUCCAGAUGUUUAAAACUAAAAGCUCGACGAAGACGACGACGGGGCUCGGCGACGUGAGAGCUUGACAAUCUGUCUCGCUGCUUUCGUCCUUGCAAGUCCGACGGUGUUCGGGGGUUGAGGCUGGGUGAACGAUAGUGCACGAGGUUAGGAUAGUGCUCAUUCAACCCCUCGUUAGCGACAGUGGUACUGGAAUCGUGAAGGUUAGCAAUUCAAAUUUCGACAUCGUCUGCGGUCACACGGGUUCAGAAGUUGGGAAAUCGGUUGCUUGGGUUCAGAGAUUGGGUUAAGAGAUUAAGUUCAGAGAUUGGGAAUGGUGAAGAUGGGAUACAAGCAUAUUGAUUUAUCUCCAAUUUAUGGGAUGGUCAAAUUCUUCUCUUGUGCACUGCUCAAUUCUGUCCAUUGAGUCUUUGAAGAGUAAAAGAAGUCUCAAUCUGAAAGUUACAAAACUAAGGAUUGGGAUUCAAUCAACAAGAUUGUAAGGCGUAUUCGUGUCAAAAGUUGAAGUUAUAUAUUAGUUAUUAUAAUUGUUCUUUAUUCAUUUUGAUGUUUAUUUUUUGUUUCUGGAUAAUUUGAUGUGUUAAAUAUGAGUAUGAUUUGUAUAUGUAAGUUUGAUUUCAGGCAAUCAAUAAAGAUGUAUUCUUAGAGUUA
Humulus lupulus (European hop) is the source of this 979-nucleotide long non-coding RNA. RefSeq lists it as uncharacterized. The record is from RefSeq and is a predicted model, not a curated record. Lineage: Eukaryota; Viridiplantae; Streptophyta; Magnoliopsida; Rosales; Cannabaceae. The transcript has 2 exons.